RNAcentral lists this ribosomal RNA (253 nucleotides) under uncultured bacterium. Its description in RNAcentral is "partial 16S ribosomal RNA". It matches the Rfam family "Bacterial small subunit ribosomal RNA", at positions 524 to 776 of the family's 1533-position model. The record is from RNAcentral.
UACGAAGGUGGCAAGCGUUGUUCGGAUUCACUGGGCGUACAGGGUGUGUAGGCGGUUUGGUAAGCCUUCUGUUAAAGCUUCGGGCCCAACCCGGAAAGCGCAGAGGGUACUGCCAGGCUAGAGGGCGGGAGAGGAGCGCGGAAUUCCCGGUGUAGCGGUGAAAUGCGUAGAGAUCGGGAGGAAGGCCGGUGGCGAAGGCGGCGCUCUGGAACGUACCUGACGCUGAGACGCGAAAGCGUGGGGAGCGAACAGG